RNAcentral lists this ribosomal RNA (258 nucleotides) under Staphylococcus aureus. Its description in RNAcentral is "partial 16S ribosomal RNA". It matches the Rfam family "Bacterial small subunit ribosomal RNA", at positions 78 to 328 of the family's 1533-position model. Lineage: Bacteria; Bacillati; Bacillota; Bacilli; Caryophanales; Staphylococcaceae. RNAcentral also lists the same sequence under 1 other name. The record is from RNAcentral.
GCUUGCUCCUUUGACGUUAGCGGCGGACGGGUGAGUAACACGUGGAUAACCUACCUAUAAGACUGGGAUAACUUCGGGAAACCGGAGCUAAUACCGGAUAACAUAUUGAACCGCAUGGUUCAAUAGUGAAAGGCGGCUUUGCUGUCACUUAUAGAUGGAUCCGCGCCGUAUUAGCUAGUUGGUAAGGUAACGGCUUACCAAGGCAACGAUACGUAGCCGACCUGAGAGGGUGAUCGGCCACACUGGAACUGAGACACG